RNAcentral lists this ribosomal RNA (441 nucleotides) under uncultured bacterium. RNAcentral describes it as "partial 16S ribosomal RNA". It matches the Rfam family "Bacterial small subunit ribosomal RNA", at positions 338 to 795 of the family's 1533-position model. The record is from RNAcentral.
CCUACGGGGGGCAGCAGUGGGGAAUAUUGCACAAUGGGGGAAACCCUGAUGCAGCAACGCCGCGUGAGUGAAGAAUUAUUUCUGUAUGUAAAGCUCUAUCAGCAGGGAAGAAGAAAGAAGGUACCUGACUAAGAAGCCCCGGCUAACUACGUGACAGCAGCCGCGGUAAUACGUAGGUGGCAAGCGUUAUCCGGAUUUACUGGGUGUACAGGGAGCGUAGACGGCUGUGAAAGUCUGAAGUGAAAGCCCGUGGCUCAACCGUGGAACUGCUUUGGAGACUGUAUAGCUUGAGUACUGGAGAGGCAGGCGGAAUUCGUAGUGUAGCGGUGAAAUGCGUAGAUAUUAGGAGGAACACCAGUGGCGAAGGCGGCCUGCUGGACAGAAACUGACGUUGAGGCUCGAAAGUGUGGGUAGCAAACAGGAUUAGAUACCCGAGUAGUC